Emericellopsis atlantica is the source of this 72-nucleotide non-coding RNA. The record is from the annotation of a RefSeq genome assembly. NCBI's taxonomy places the organism in Eukaryota, Fungi, Ascomycota, Sordariomycetes, Hypocreales, Bionectriaceae.
GCCCUCUUAGCUCAGAGGUAGAGCGCAUCACUAGUAAUGAUGAGGUCGUUGGUUCAAUUCCAGCAGUGGGCA